RNAcentral lists this ribosomal RNA (867 nucleotides) under uncultured bacterium. Its description in RNAcentral is "bacterial SSU rRNA". It matches the Rfam family "Bacterial small subunit ribosomal RNA", at positions 580 to 1447 of the family's 1533-position model. The record is from RNAcentral.
UAGAUAAGUNUGAAGUUAAAGGCUGUGGCUUAACCAUAGUACGCUUUGGAAACUGUUUAACUUGAGUGCAGAAGGGGAGAGUGGAAUUCCAUGUGUAGCGGUGAAAUGCGUAGAUAUAUGGAGGANCACCGGUGGCGAAAGCGGCUCUCUGGUCUGUAACUGACGCUGAGGCUCGAAAGCGUGGGGAGCGAACAGGAUUAGAUACCCUGGUAGUNCACGCCGUAAACGAUGAGUGCUAGGUGUUAGGCCCUNUCCGGGGCUUAGUGCCGCAGCUAACGCAUUAAGCACUCCGCCUGGGGAGUACGACCGCAAGGUUGAAACUCAAAGGAAUUGACGGGGGCCCGCACAAGCGGUGGAGCAUGUGGUUUAAUUCGAAGCAACGCGAAGAACCUUACCAGGUCUUGACAUCCCGAUGCCCGCUCUAGAGAUAGAGUUUUACUUCGGUGCAUCGGUGACAGGUGGUGCAUGGUUGUCGUCAGCUCGUGUCGUGAGAUGUUGGGUUAAGUCCCGCAACGAGCGCAACCCUUAUUGUUAGUUGUCAUCAUUCAGUUGGGCACUCUAGCGAGACUGCCGGUAAUAAACCGGAGGAAGGUGGGGAUGACGUCAAAUCAUCAUGCCCCUUAUGACCUGGGCUACACACGUGCUACAAUGGCUGGUACAACGAGUCGCAAGUCGGUGACGGCAAGCUAAUCUCUUAAAGCCAGUCUCAGUUCGGAUUGUAGGCUGCAACUCGCCUACAUGAAGUCGGAAUCGCUAGUAAUCGCGGAUCAGCACGCCGCGGUGAAUACGUUCCCGGGCCUUGUACACACCGCCCGUCACACCACGAGAGUUUGUAACACCCGAAGUCGGUGAGGUANCCUUUUAGGA